This 2903-nucleotide ribosomal RNA is filed under the name Escherichia coli. Its description in RNAcentral is "23S ribosomal RNA". It matches the Rfam family "Bacterial large subunit ribosomal RNA". Lineage: Bacteria; Pseudomonadati; Pseudomonadota; Gammaproteobacteria; Enterobacterales; Enterobacteriaceae. The record is from RNAcentral.
GGUUAAGCGACUAAGCGUACACGGUGGAUGCCCUGGCAGUCAGAGGCGAUGAAGGACGUGCUAAUCUGCGAUAAGCGUCGGUAAGGUGAUAUGAACCGUUAUAACCGGCGAUUUCCGAAUGGGGAAACCCAGUGUGAUUCGUCACACUAUCAUUAACUGAAUCCAUAGGUUAAUGAGGCGAACCGGGGGAACUGAAACAUCUAAGUACCCCGAGGAAAAGAAAUCAACCGAGAUUCCCCCAGUAGCGGCGAGCGAACGGGGAGCAGCCCAGAGCCUGAAUCAGUGUGUGUGUUAGUGGAAGCGUCUGGAAAGGCGCGCGAUACAGGGUGACAGCCCCGUACACAAAAAUGCACAUGCUGUGAGCUCGAUGAGUAGGGCGGGACACGUGGUAUCCUGUCUGAAUAUGGGGGGACCAUCCUCCAAGGCUAAAUACUCCUGACUGACCGAUAGUGAACCAGUACCGUGAGGGAAAGGCGAAAAGAACCCCGGCGAGGGGAGUGAAAAAGAACCUGAAACCGUGUACGUACAAGCAGUGGGAGCACGCUUAGGCGUGUGACUGCGUACCUUUUGUAUAAUGGGUCAGCGACUUAUAUUCUGUAGCAAGGUUAACCGAAUAGGGGAGCCGAAGGGAAACCGAGUCUUAACUGGGCGUUAAGUUGCAGGGUAUAGACCCGAAACCCGGUGAUCUAGCCAUGGGCAGGUUGAAGGUUGGGUAACACUAACUGGAGGACCGAACCGACUAAUGUUGAAAAAUUAGCGGAUGACUUGUGGCUGGGGGUGAAAGGCCAAUCAAACCGGGAGAUAGCUGGUUCUCCCCGAAAGCUAUUUAGGUAGCGCCUCGUGAAUUCAUCUCCGGGGGUAGAGCACUGUUUCGGCAAGGGGGUCAUCCCGACUUACCAACCCGAUGCAAACUGCGAAUACCGGAGAAUGUUAUCACGGGAGACACACGGCGGGUGCUAACGUCCGUCGUGAAGAGGGAAACAACCCAGACCGCCAGCUAAGGUCCCAAAGUCAUGGUUAAGUGGGAAACGAUGUGGGAAGGCCCAGACAGCCAGGAUGUUGGCUUAGAAGCAGCCAUCAUUUAAAGAAAGCGUAAUAGCUCACUGGUCGAGUCGGCCUGCGCGGAAGAUGUAACGGGGCUAAACCAUGCACCGAAGCUGCGGCAGCGACACUAUGUGUUGUUGGGUAGGGGAGCGUUCUGUAAGCCUGUGAAGGUGUACUGUGAGGUAUGCUGGAGGUAUCAGAAGUGCGAAUGCUGACAUAAGUAACGAUAAAGCGGGUGAAAAGCCCGCUCGCCGGAAGACCAAGGGUUCCUGUCCAACGUUAAUCGGGGCAGGGUGAGUCGACCCCUAAGGCGAGGCCGAAAGGCGUAGUCGAUGGGAAACAGGUUAAUAUUCCUGUACUUGGUGUUACUGCGAAGGGGGGACGGAGAAGGCUAUGUUGGCCGGGCGACGGUUGUCCCGGUUUAAGCGUGUAGGCUGGUUUUCCAGGCAAAUCCGGAAAAUCAAGGCUGAGGCGUGAUGACGAGGCACUACGGUGCUGAAGCAACAAAUGCCCUGCUUCCAGGAAAAGCCUCUAAGCAUCAGGUAACAUCAAAUCGUACCCCAAACCGACACAGGUGGUCAGGUAGAGAAUACCAAGGCGCUUGAGAGAACUCGGGUGAAGGAACUAGGCAAAAUGGUGCCGUAACUUCGGGAGAAGGCACGCUGAUAUGUAGGUGAAGUCCCUCGCGGAUGGAGCUGAAAUCAGUCGAAGAUACCAGCUGGCUGCAACUGUUUAUUAAAAACACAGCACUGUGCAAACACGAAAGUGGACGUAUACGGUGUGACGCCUGCCCGGUGCCGGAAGGUUAAUUGAUGGGGUUAGCGCAAGCGAAGCUCUUGAUCGAAGCCCCGGUAAACGGCGGCCGUAACUAUAACGGUCCUAAGGUAGCGAAAUUCCUUGUCGGGUAAGUUCCGACCUGCACGAAUGGCGUAAUGAUGGCCAGGCUGUCUCCACCCGAGACUCAGUGAAAUUGAACUCGCUGUGAAGAUGCAGUGUACCCGCGGCAAGACGGAAAGACCCCGUGAACCUUUACUAUAGCUUGACACUGAACAUUGAGCCUUGAUGUGUAGGAUAGGUGGGAGGCUUUGAAGUGUGGACGCCAGUCUGCAUGGAGCCGACCUUGAAAUACCACCCUUUAAUGUUUGAUGUUCUAACGUUGACCCGUGAUCCGGGUUGCGGACAGUGUCUGGUGGGUAGUUUGACUGGGGCGGUCUCCUCCUAAAGAGUAACGGAGGAGCACGAAGGUUGGCUAAUCCUGGUCGGACAUCAGGAGGUUAGUGCAAUGGCAUAAGCCAGCUUGACUGCGAGCGUGACGGCGCGAGCAGGUGCGAAAGCAGGUCAUAGUGAUCCGGUGGUUCUGAAUGGAAGGGCCAUCGCUCAACGGAUAAAAGGUACUCCGGGGAUAACAGGCUGAUACCGCCCAAGAGUUCAUAUCGACGGCGGUGUUUGGCACCUCGAUGUCGGCUCAUCACAUCCUGGGGCUGAAGUAGGUCCCAAGGGUAUGGCUGUUCGCCAUUUAAAGUGGUACGCGAGCUGGGUUUAGAACGUCGUGAGACAGUUCGGUCCCUAUCUGCCGUGGGCGCUGGAGAACUGAGGGGGGCUGCUCCUAGUACGAGAGGACCGGAGUGGACGCAUCACUGGUGUUCGGGUUGUCAUGCCAAUGGCACUGCCCGGUAGCUAAAUGCGGAAGAGAUAAGUGCUGAAAGCAUCUAAGCACGAAACUUGCCCCGAGAUGAGUUCUCCCUGACUCCUUGAGAGUCCUGAAGGAACGUUGAAGACGACGACGUUGAUAGGCCGGGUGUGUAAGCGCAGCGAUGCGUUGAGCUAACCGGUACUAAUGAACCGUGAGGCUUAACCUU